RNAcentral lists this ribosomal RNA (400 nucleotides) under uncultured bacterium. RNAcentral describes it as "bacterial SSU rRNA". It matches the Rfam family "Bacterial small subunit ribosomal RNA", at positions 356 to 773 of the family's 1533-position model. The record is from RNAcentral.
AGGGAAUCUUCCGCAAUGGACGCAACUCUGAUGCAGCAACGCCGCGUGAGUGAUGAAGGUCUUCGGAUUGUAAAGCUCUGUCUUCUGGGACGAUAAUGACGGUACCAGAGGAGGAAGCCACGGCUAACUACGUGCCAGCAGCCGCGGUAAUACGUAGGUGGCAAGCGUUGUCCGGAUUUACUGGGCGUAAAGGAUGUGUAGGCGGAUAUUUAAGUGAGAUGUGAAAUCCCCGGGCUUAACUUGGGGGCCGCAUUUCAAACUGGAUGUCUAGAGUGCAGGAGAGGAAAGCAGAAUUCCUAGUGUAGCGGUGAAAUGCGUAGAGAUUAGGAAGAAUACCAGUGGCGAAGGCGGCUUUCUGGACUGUAACUGACGCUGAGGCAUGAAAGCGUGGGGAGCAAAC